RNAcentral lists this ribosomal RNA (253 nucleotides) under uncultured bacterium. RNAcentral's name for it is "partial 16S ribosomal RNA". It matches the Rfam family "Bacterial small subunit ribosomal RNA", at positions 524 to 776 of the family's 1533-position model. The record is from RNAcentral.
UACGGAGGGUGCAAGCGUUAUCCGGAUUUACUGGGUUUAAAGGGUGUGUAGGCGGGCAAUUAAGUCAGCGGUGAAAUCUCCGGGCUCAACCCGGAAACUGCCAUUGAUACUAUUUGUCUUGAAUAUCGUUGAGGUAGGCGGAAUAUGUCAUGUAGCGGUGAAAUGCUUAGAUAUGACAUAGAACACCAAUUGCGAAGGCAGCUUACUACCCGAAUAUUGACACUGAGGCACGAAAGCGUGGGGAUCAAACAGG